UACGGGGGGGGCAAGCGUUGUUCGGAAUUACUGGGCGUAAAGGGCUCGUAGGUGGCCAACUCAGUCGGACGUGAAAUCCCCGGGCUCAACCCGGGAACUGCGUCCGAUACUGGCGGGCUUGAAUCCGGGAGAGGGAUGUGGAAUUCCAGGUGUAGCGGUGAAAUGCGUAGAUAUCUGGAGGAACACCGGUGGCAAAGGCGGCAUCCUGGACCGGUAUUGACGCUGAGGCGCGAAAGCCAGGGGAGCAAACGGG
Molecule: ribosomal RNA, 253 nt
Filed under: uncultured bacterium
Lineage: Bacteria
Description: partial 16S ribosomal RNA
Rfam family: Bacterial small subunit ribosomal RNA
Source: RNAcentral